RNAcentral lists this ribosomal RNA (253 nucleotides) under uncultured bacterium. Its description in RNAcentral is "partial 16S ribosomal RNA". It matches the Rfam family "Bacterial small subunit ribosomal RNA", at positions 524 to 776 of the family's 1533-position model. The record is from RNAcentral.
UACGGAGGGUGCGAGCGUUAAUCGGAAUAACUGGGCGUAAAGGGCACGUAGGCGGUCAAUUAAGUUAGGUGUGAAAUCCCCGGGCUUAACCUGGGAACGGCAUUUAAGACUGGUUGGCUGGAGUAUCGUAGAGGGGGGUAGAAUUCCACGUGUAGCGGUGAAAUGCGUAGAGAUGUGGAGGAAUACCGGUGGCGAAGGCGGCCCCCUGGACGAAUACUGACGCUGAGGUGCGAAAGCGUGGGGAGCAAACAGG